This is a long non-coding RNA of Xyrauchen texanus (razorback sucker), 840 nucleotides long. RefSeq lists it as uncharacterized. Lineage: Eukaryota; Metazoa; Chordata; Actinopteri; Cypriniformes; Catostomidae. The transcript is spliced from 3 exons. The record is from RefSeq and is a predicted model, not a curated record.
AGAAGUGGCCGUUAGAUAUUCAUCUGUCCACAGUUAGACAAACUGUCUAUAAAUGGAGAUGAUUUAGUACUAUAGGUACUCUCACUAGAAGUGGCCGUUAGAUAUUCAUCUGUCCACAGUUAGACAAACUGUCUAUAAAUGGAGAUGAUUUAGUACUAUAUGUACUCUCUCUAGAAGUGGCCGUUAGAUAUUCAUCUGUCCACAGUUAGACAAACUGUCUAUAAAUGGAGAUGAUUUAGUACUAUAGGUACUCUCACUAGAAGUGGCCGUUAGAUAUUCAUCUGUCCACAGUUAGACAAACUGUCUAUAAAUGGAGAUGAUUUAGUACUAUAUGUACUCUCUCUAGAAGUGGCCGUUAGAUAUUCAUCUGUCCACAGUUAGACAAACUGUCUAUAAAUGGAGGUGAUUUAGUACUAUAGAUACUCUCACUAGAAGUGGCCAUUAGAUAUUCAUCUGUCCACAGUGAGAUAAACUGUCUAUAAAUGGAGGUGAUUUAGUACUAUAGAUACUCUCUCUAGAAGUGUCCGUUAGAUAUUCAUCUGUCCACAGUGAGACAAACUGUCUAUAAAUGGAGGUGAUUUAGUACUAUAGGUACUCUCUCUAGAAGUGGCCGUUAGAUAUUCAUCUGUCCACAGUGAGACAAACUGUCUAUAAAUGGAGAUGAUUUAGUACUAUAGAUACUCUCACUAGAAGUGGCCGUUAGAUAUUCAUCUGUCCACAGUGAGACAAACUGUCUAUAAAUGGAGAUGAUUUAGUACUAUAGGUACUCUCUCUAGAAGUGUCCGUUAGAUAUUCAUCUGUCCACAGUGAGACAAACUGUCUAUAAAUGGAGAUGAUUUA